This 253-nucleotide ribosomal RNA is filed under the name uncultured bacterium. RNAcentral describes it as "partial 16S ribosomal RNA". It matches the Rfam family "Bacterial small subunit ribosomal RNA", at positions 524 to 776 of the family's 1533-position model. The record is from RNAcentral.
UACGUAGGGCGCAAGCGUUAUCCGGAAUUAUUGGGCGUAAAGAGCUCGUAGGCGGUUUGUCGCGUCUGCUGUGAAAACGCGAGGCUCAACCUCGCGCCUGCAGUGGGUACGGGCAGACUGGAGUGCGGUAGGGGAGAUUGGAAUUCCUGGUGUAGCGGUGGAAUGCGCAGAUAUCAGGAGGAACACCGAUGGCGAAGGCAGAUCUCUGGGCCGUAACUGACGCUGAGGCGCGAAAGCGUGGGGAGCAAACAGG